Molecule: non-coding RNA, 22 nt
Filed under: Arabidopsis thaliana (thale cress)
Lineage: Eukaryota; Viridiplantae; Streptophyta; Magnoliopsida; Brassicales; Brassicaceae
Source: RNAcentral
UGUUUGGACCUACGAUCGUGGA